UGUAUCCCCCGAUUCAACAUACUUAGAGCAAUGAG
RNAcentral lists this small RNA (35 nucleotides) under Anaerobutyricum hallii. Its description in RNAcentral is "CRISPR_Spacer". Lineage: Bacteria; Bacillati; Bacillota; Clostridia; Lachnospirales; Lachnospiraceae. The record is from RNAcentral.